CAAUAGCGUAUAUUAAAGUUGUUGCAGUUAAAAAGCUCGUAGUUGGAUUUCUGGCAGGAGCGACCGGUCACACACUCUGUGUGUGAACUCGUGUUGUCUCUGGCCAUCCUUGGGGAGAUCCUGUUUGGCAUUAAGUUGUCGGGCAGGGGACAUCCAUCGUUUACUGUGAAAAAAUUAGAGUGUUUAAAGCAGGCUUAUGCCGUUGAAUAUAUUAGCAUGGAAUAAUAAGAUAGGACUUCGGAACUAUUUUGUUGGUUUGCGUUACGGAGUAAUGAUUAAUAGGGACAGUUGGGGUAUUCGUAUUUCGUUGUCAGAGGUGAAAUUCUUGGAUUUCCGAAAGACGAACUACUGCGAAAGCAUUUACCAAGGAUGUUUUCAUUA
Molecule: ribosomal RNA, 381 nt
Filed under: uncultured eukaryote
Lineage: Eukaryota
Description: partial 18S ribosomal RNA
Rfam family: Eukaryotic small subunit ribosomal RNA
Source: RNAcentral